CGGACCGGGCGGCACGGGUGGAGUAACGCGUAUGCAACCUGCCCGAUACCGGGGUAUAGCCCAUGGAAACGUGGAUUAACACCCCAUAGUACUUUUAUCCUGCAUGGGAUGUGAGUUAAAUGUUCAAGGUAUCGGAUGGGCAUGCGUCCUAUUAGUUAGUUGGCGGGGUAACAGCCCACCAAGACGAUGAUAGGUAGGGGUUCUGAGAGGAAGGUCCCCCACAUUGGAACUGAGACACGGUCCAA
Molecule: ribosomal RNA, 245 nt
Filed under: uncultured bacterium
Lineage: Bacteria
Description: partial 16S ribosomal RNA
Rfam family: Bacterial small subunit ribosomal RNA
Source: RNAcentral